RNAcentral lists this ribosomal RNA (1313 nucleotides) under uncultured bacterium. Its description in RNAcentral is "16S ribosomal RNA". It matches the Rfam family "Bacterial small subunit ribosomal RNA", at positions 33 to 1393 of the family's 1533-position model. The record is from RNAcentral.
ACGCUGGCGGCACGCCUAACACAUGCAAGUCGAACGAAGUAGCAAUACUUAGUGGCAGACGGGUGAGUAACAUGUGGGUAUCUGCCCUUUGGCCUGGAAUAACACGAGGAAACUUGUGCUAAUACCGGAUAAGUCUUUACGGAGAAAGCUUUAUGCACCAUUGGAUGAGCCCGCACUUGAUUAGUUUGUUGGUGGGGUAAUGGCCUACCAAGACUGUGAUCAAUAGCUGAUUUGAGAGGAUGAUCAGCCACAUUGGGACUGAGACACGGCCCAAACUCCUACGGGAGGCAGCAGUGGGGAAUCUUGCACAAUGGAGGAAACUCUGAUGCAGCGAUGCCGCGUGAGUGAAGAAGGCCCUUGGGUUGUAAAGCUCUUUCGUCGGGGAAGAAAAUGACUGUACCCGAAUAAGAAGGCCCGGCUAACUUCGUGCCAGCAGCCGCGGUAAUACGAAGGGACCUAGCGUAGUUCGGAAUUACUGGGCUUAAAGAGUUCGUAGGUGGUUGAAAAAGUUAGUGGUGAAAUCCCAGAGCUUAACUCUGGAACUGCCAUUAAAACUUUUCAGCUAGAGUAUGAUAGAGGAAAGCAGAAUUUCUAGUGUAGAGGUGAAAUUCGUAGGUAUUAGAAAGAAUACCAAUUGCGAAGGCAGCUUUCUGGAUCAUUACUGACACUGAGGAACGAAAGCAUGGGUAGCGAGGAGGAUUAGAUACCCUCGUAGUCCAUGCCGUAAACGAUGUGUGUUAGACGUUGGAAAUUUAUUUUCAGUGUCGCAGCGAAAGCGAUAAACACACCGCCUGGGGAGUACGACCGCAAGGUUAAAACUCAAAUGAAUUGACGGGGACCCGCACAAGUAGUGGAGCAUGUGGUUUAAUUCGAAGAUACGCGCAGAACCUUACCAACACUUGACAUGUUCGUCGCGACUCUAAGAGAUUAGAGUUUUCGGUUCGGCCGGAUGAAACACAGGUGCUGCAUGGCUGUCGUCAGCUCGUGUCGUGAGAUGUUGGGUUAAGUCCCGCAACGAGCGCAACCCUCACUUUUAGUUGCCAUCAUUAAGUUGGGCACUCUGAAAGAACUGCCAGUGAUAAGCUGGAGGAAGGUGGGGAUGACGUCAAGUCCUCAUGGCCCUUACGUGUUGGGCUACACACGUGCUACAAUGGUAUCUACAACAGGAAGCAAGACUGCGAGGUCAAGCAAAUCCUUAAAAGAUACCUCAGUUCGGAUUGCACUCUGCAACUCGAGUGCAUGAAGCUGGAAUUACUAGUAAUCGUGGAUCAGCGUGCCACGGUGAAUGCGUUCCCGGGUCUUGCACACACCGC